RNAcentral lists this ribosomal RNA (1442 nucleotides) under uncultured Prochlorococcus sp. RNAcentral's name for it is "bacterial SSU rRNA". It matches the Rfam family "Bacterial small subunit ribosomal RNA". Lineage: Bacteria; Bacillati; Cyanobacteriota; Cyanophyceae; Synechococcales; Prochlorococcaceae. The record is from RNAcentral.
GAGUUUGAUCCUGGCUCAGGAUGAACGCUGGCGGCGUGCUUAACACAUGCAAGUCGAACGAACCUUCGGGUUAGUGGCGGACGGGUGAGUAACGCGUGAGAAUCUGCCCUCAGGAGGGGGAUAACGGUUGGAAACGACCGCUAAUACCCCAUAUGCCUACUGGUGAAAUGAAUUUCGCCUGAGGAUGAGCUCGCGUCUGAUUAGCUAGUUGGUGAGGUAAUGGCUCACCAAGGCUUCGAUCAGUAGCUGGUCUGAGAGGAUGAUCAGCCACACUGGGACUGAGACACGGCCCAGACUCCUACGGGAGGCAGCAGUGGGGAAUUUUCCGCAAUGGGCGAAAGCCUGACGGAGCAACGCCGCGUGAGGGACGAAGGCCUCUGGGCUGUAAACCUCUUUUCUCAAGGAAGAAGAUAUGACGGUACUUGAGGAAUAAGCCACGGCUAAUUCCGUGCCAGCAGCCGCGGUAAUACGGGAGUGGCAAGCGUUAUCCGGAAUUAUUGGGCGUAAAGCGUCCGCAGGCGGCUUUUCAAGUCUGCUGUUAAAGCGUGGAGCUUAACUCCAUCAUGGCAGUGGAAACUGAAAGGCUUGAGUAUGGUAGGGGCAGAGGGAAUUCCCGGUGUAGCGGUGAAAUGCGUAGAUAUCGGGAAGAACACCAGUGGCGAAGGCGCUCUGCUGGGCCAUUACUGACGCUCAUGGACGAAAGCCAGGGGAGCGAAAGGGAUUAGAUACCCCUGUAGUCCUGGCCGUAAACGAUGAACACUAGGUGUCGGGGGAAUCGACCCCUUCGGUGUCGUAGCUAACGCGUUAAGUGUUCCGCCUGGGGAGUACGCACGCAAGUGUGAAACUCAAAGGAAUUGACGGGGGCCCGCACAAGCGGUGGAGUAUGUGGUUUAAUUCGAUGCAACGCGAAGAACCUUACCAGGGUUUGACAUCCUGCGAACCUCUUAGAAAUUUGAGGGUGCCUUCGGGAAUGCAGUGACAGGUGGUGCAUGGCUGUCGUCAGCUCCUGUCGUGAGAUGUUGGGUUAAGUCCCGCAACGGGCGCAACCCACGUAAAUAGUUGCCAGCAUUUAGUUGGGCACUCUAGAAAGACCGCCGGUGAUAAACCGGAGGAAGGUGUGGAUGACGUCAAGUCAUCAUGCCCCUUACACCCUGGGCUACACACGUACUACAAUGCUACGGACAAAGGGCAGCAAACUCGCGAGAGCUAGCAAAUCCCAUAAACCGUGGCUCAGUUCAGAUCGUAGGCUGCAACUCGCCUACGUGAAGUAGGAAUCGCUAGUAAUCGCAGGUCAGCAUACUGCGGUGAAUACGUUCCCGGGCCUUGUACACACCGCCCGUCACACCAUGGAAGUUGGCCAUGCCCGAAGUCGUUACUCCAACCCUUGUGGAGGAGGACGCCGAAGGUGGGGCUAAUGACUGGGGUGAAGUCGUAACAAGGUA